This 444-nucleotide ribosomal RNA is filed under the name Arthrobacter sp. RNAcentral describes it as "bacterial SSU rRNA". It matches the Rfam family "Bacterial small subunit ribosomal RNA", at positions 74 to 522 of the family's 1533-position model. Lineage: Bacteria; Bacillati; Actinomycetota; Actinomycetes; Micrococcales; Micrococcaceae. The record is from RNAcentral.
CCUCACUUGUGGGGGGAUUAGUGGCGAACGGGUGAGUAACACGUGAGUAACCUGCCCUUGACUCUGGGAUAAGCCUGGGAAACCGGGUCUAAUACUGGAUACGACCUUCUGGCGCAUGCCAUGUUGGUGGAAAGCUUUUGUGGUUUUGGAUGGACUCGCGGCCUAUCAGCUUGUUGGUGGGGUAAUGGCCUACCAAGGCGACGACGGGUAGCCGGCCUGAGAGGGUGACCGGCCACACUGGGACUGAGACACGGCCCAGACUCCUACGGGAGGCAGCAGUGGGGAAUAUUGCACAAUGGGCGCAAGCCUGAUGCAGCGACGCCGCGUGAGGGAUGAAGGCCUUCGGGUUGUAAACCUCUUUCAGUAGGGAAGAAGCCGGCCUUUGGGUUGGUGACGGUACCUGCAGAAGAAGCGCCGGCUAACUACGUGCCAGCCGCCGCCGUA